Molecule: long non-coding RNA, 1505 nt
Organism: Balaenoptera acutorostrata (minke whale)
Lineage: Eukaryota; Metazoa; Chordata; Mammalia; Artiodactyla; Balaenopteridae
Exons: 7
Source: RefSeq, a predicted model, not a curated record
CCCGGGCCUCGGCCAGGACUCCCCGCCCCGCUCCUCCAAGUCCGCCGCCGCGUCUGCACAAGCGUGGUCCCGUUUGAAGCACCCGCUUCUUUCUUUCCUGGUUUCCUCUCUACUUCUCGGUUCUGUCCUAGUUUGGGCACGAGUGGGAGGCGGGCAACAACUUGGGGCCAGCGGCGUUGGCUGCUCAGCCUCAUGGGGAUAACUUGAGCAGUCGGGUCCCAGGAGGGAGAGAAAUCAGAAGAAGAAAUGAAAACUAGAAUCAUUUCCCCACAAAGUCGAACGACCCACUCGCGUUUAACUCCUUUCUGGGACAGUCGCCCGCAUCUCAGCACAAGCCGGAAGGACCGGGAGAGAGUGCAACUCGGCGUCUGAGCCUGGCGGCGGAGGCUGGCGGUUUGGUCCACAGCGACGCGAGACUGCGCCCUCGGGGACCCGGCGAGGGGCCAGAGCAAGCCCGCCCUGCUGCUGCGGGGGCCACGCGGGAGAGACCUUCGCCACGAGCCGCGGUUUUGUUUCCAUGGAAGAAGAAAUUCACAGACCCUUGAAGCCUGUCUUAUGAAUCCCACGUUAAGCACCUCUACUUCUAGAGAAGAGAAAUGCUACAACCCUGAGGAUGACGCUUUUAAAGUCAAGCCUCCAGAUGAGAAUGCAGACCAGAGGACACCUUAAUUUUGGCUUCGUGAAACCCUAAGCAGAGGACCCAGUUAAGCCAUGCCUGGACUCCUGACCCAGCAAAAUUUAUUUGAAGAGUUCCUCCGAGAUGACAGCAUAAGAAGACCCUGAACUCACCUCCCACAGACACACUGAUUUUACACCUACACACAGAGCAAUUUCUCCUGAAGAAGAACUGAGGGCUGAUUGAACAGCUUCUGUACAACCGACAAUAGAGGGACCACGCAGAGACAGUUGUCCUCAUUCUACUCUAUGCCUGUUUCUUCAACUGUAGAAAGAGAAUACAUGCCUACCACUCUGACACCUGCGGUUCUCAACUGGGGACAGUUUUGCCAUCCAAAAUUAUACCACAAAGUUGGUCCGGUGAGGACACUGCCACUGGCACCCUGAACACUGACUUGUACACCUUGUGCCUGGGACAGGAGGCUGCAUCCCUGGUGACGAGUAGCUGCAGCCCCUUAGCACUGGGUGCUGCGGACACUGCUGCUGGCGCUGAAGACAAUCUCCUUGCUGUUCCUGCUCCUCUCUGUCCCCUGUGUCAAGGUCUGGAGCCCGUAUAGUGAACCUUUGAGGCCUGAGAUGUUAACUGCAAAUGAUGCUGUGACAAAAACCAGAGCCUGGGCCUCAGCAGGUAGAGAAGAACAGGUGGGCGUAUGGAUCCGAAGGGUGGUCUCGGAUGCUCCUACUGCGGGAGAAGAGCCUCCUCACCACGUGCUGCUGGCCAAGCCUGAGCCCGGGCGGCCGCCCUCGUGCCCGCAGACUGUCUUACACAGGAUGCCUGAUGUUGAGAGGGGAGAAGCAGGGAGCCGGUGGGAGUGAAGUGGCUUCCCACA